ACUGUAGCAUAUCUGACUGGAACUCAUCCAGAAAAACCUGUGAUCUACAUGAUCUCCUAUAUUGUACAUGUUAUAUACAGACAACAAUGUGAACUACUCGAUCUCCUGUCGCCUGUAAAGUGCAUGUUUCAUAUAAAGACAACCAUGUGAUCUGCUUGAACUACUGUCCUCCUGUGAUUUCCUGGUCAACAUUCUACCGUCUACACCUGAAACUCGGGGUCUUCUGAGUGGAGACGUGCUUUCCCACUGUAGGAAGAAGCCUCUGUUCAUCAACGUUGGACGCGGAGACAUAAUUGACGAUGAGAGUCUCCUUUCAGCACUCAGAGGAGGAUGGCUAUCGGGGGCUGUGCUGGACAUCUUUACGGAGGAGCCCUUGUCUCGAGAUAGUCCUCUGUGGGGAGAGAGGGACGUGGUGAUCACACCCCACGUAUCUAACCAAAGUGAUUGUAUGGACUCAUACAAAAAGCUGGCGUCCAUGUUUUUGGCCAACUAUAAUCGGUACCUGAACGGACAAGCACUGGAGAAUGUUGUAAACAUUGACAGGGGAUACUGAACGAUAUGUCUACUGAAGCACUCG
Molecule: long non-coding RNA, 577 nt
Organism: Haliotis rubra (blacklip abalone)
Lineage: Eukaryota; Metazoa; Mollusca; Gastropoda; Lepetellida; Haliotidae
Exons: 4
Source: RefSeq, a predicted model, not a curated record